GUUGCAUCCUCCUCACGAGCCUCCCGCGACGGGAUUAGCCACAUUUUACCAACGAAGGCCUCCACCCUCCCGGAAGACAGCAACUGGCCCAAGGUGACACGGCUGGGAAGGAAGAGUGCAGGGAUUUGAAUCCAGGACUUUUUUUCUCUUUUACUCUACUUCGCGUGGCCCCUGGCUGCUAGGGUGCUGGGGAACCUGCCCCAGUGCGACCUGUGCGGUGGCUCCGUCCUGGUUGUGCCUCCAGGGGACCGGCUGCCGUGAUGCAGAACUAAGGUGGAAAUGACCCAGUGAGGAAGGAAAAUGAGCACAGCCUGCCCUGGUCAUACAAUUAAAAUAUAUACGCUGGCCAAAGGUCAUUUUCAUAGUUGGGUGAGGAGACGCUUCAGACGUGCGAUGAGCCACAGCCGGUAGCUGGUUCUCUCCUGGGAUGCGCAUUUAGAUCCCCAUCUUGUUGAUCCCAAAGACUCUACCUGCACCCAGGAUCCAAAAGUUUUAAUGUAGGAGAACCACAGCGUCCCUUUGUAAUUGUGGGUAAGCACAUCUUGUUUCUAUAACUUUCGGGUUGAUCUGCUGAUCUAAUCAUGCUGUUCCUUGGGCCAAAUCUAACCCUGUAUCGUAAUGCUCCAGACAAAAGAAAGGGCUGUUUCCUGGAGGCCUGUGGCUUCUUUGGUCUGUGGAAGGUCUGCUGAAGUAGACCCUGAGCAAGAGAGAAGGAAAGGGAAGUACUAGGGUGAAGAGGAAGGGCAAGCUGCUCCCAGAGGUGAACCCAGAAAUGCAUGUCAGUACAAG
Molecule: long non-coding RNA, 789 nt
Filed under: Ursus maritimus (polar bear)
Lineage: Eukaryota; Metazoa; Chordata; Mammalia; Carnivora; Ursidae
Description: lncRNA (ENSUMAG00000002484.1)
Source: RNAcentral